GACGAACGCUGGCGGCGUGCUUAACACAUGCAAGUCGAACGGUGAAGCGCCUUCCUUUUUGGUGGGUGUGGAUGAGUGGCGAACGGGUGAGUAACACGUGAGUAACCUGCCCCCUUCUUCUGGAUAACCGCAUGGAAGUGUGGCUAAUACGGGAUAUUCUGGGUCUGUCGCAUGAUGGGUCUGGGAAAGAUAUUGUUUCGGUGGGGGAUGGGCUCGCGGCCUAUCAGCUUGUUGGUGGGGUGAUGGCCUACCGAGGCGGUGACGGGUAGCCGGCCUGAGAGGGUGGACGGUCACACUGGGACUGAGACACGGCCCAGACUCCUACGGGAGGCAGCAGUGGGGAAUAUUGCACAAUGGGCGCAAGCCUGAUGCAGCGACGCCGCGUGAGGGAUGGAGGCCUUCGGGUUGUGAACCUCUUUCGCCAGUGAAGCAGGCCUGCCUCGUUUGUGGGUGGGUUGACGGUAGCUGGAUAAGAAGCGCCGGCUAACUACGUG
This 494-nucleotide ribosomal RNA is filed under the name uncultured bacterium. Its description in RNAcentral is "partial 16S ribosomal RNA". It matches the Rfam family "Bacterial small subunit ribosomal RNA", at positions 28 to 507 of the family's 1533-position model. The record is from RNAcentral.